AAAGGUAUUUGAAAAAAUGGGAGGGGGAUACAUUUUGUCGAAUGUGGAUAUAAGCUAGUAAAAGAAAAGAGGGUCCAAUAACUUAUGGAUUAUAGCCCUAAUUCUAACAUUUGAAAUUAAUAAAAUAAAAUUAACAAAUAAUUAAAAUAAUAGAAACAAUAUAAUUAAAUUAAUAAAUAAUUUUAAAAUAAUGAAAACAAUGUUAACACACU
RNAcentral lists this long non-coding RNA (212 nucleotides) under Lathyrus oleraceus (garden pea). Its description in RNAcentral is "Pisum sativum (pea) long non-coding RNA (PSAT_LNC020896)". The record is from RNAcentral. Lineage: Eukaryota; Viridiplantae; Streptophyta; Magnoliopsida; Fabales; Fabaceae.